RNAcentral lists this ribosomal RNA (484 nucleotides) under uncultured bacterium. RNAcentral's name for it is "partial 16S ribosomal RNA". It matches the Rfam family "Bacterial small subunit ribosomal RNA", at positions 30 to 507 of the family's 1533-position model. The record is from RNAcentral.
AUUGAACGCUGGCGGCAGGCCUAACACAUGCAAGUCGAGCGGAUGAAGGGAGCUUGCUCCUGGAUUCAGCGGCGGACGGGUGAGUAAUGCCUAGGAAUCUGCCUGGUAGUGGGGGAUAACGUCCGGAAACGGGCGCUGAUACCGCAUACGUCCUGAGGGAGAAAGUGGGGGAUCCUCGGACCUCACGCUAUCAGAUGAGCCUAGGUCGGAUUAGCUAGUUGGUGGGGUAAAGGCCUACCAAGGCGACGAUCCGUAACUGGUCUGAGAGGAUGAUCAGUCACACUGGAACUGAGACACGGUCCAGACUCCUACGGGAGGCAGCAGUGGGGAAUAUUGGACAAUGGGCGAAAGCCUGAUCCAGCCAUGCCGCGUGUGUGAAGAAGGUCUUCGGAUUGUAAAGCACUUUAAGUUGGGAGGAAGGGCAGUAAGUUAAUACCUUGCUGUUUUGACGUUACCAACAGAAUAAGCACCGGCUAACUUCGUG